ACUUAUCCGUAAACCUACACAUCCAACUACAAUGAGAUGUCCGCCAGGGUACUACGAGCACCAGCUUAAAACCCAAAGGACCUGACGGUGUCUCAGACCCACCUAGAGGAGCCUGUUCUAGAACCGAUAACCCCCGUUCAACCUCACCACCUCUAGCCACCCCAGCCUAUAUACCGCCGUCGUAAGCUUACCCUGUGAAGGUAAUAAAAGUAAGCAAAAUGGGUACAACCCAGAACGUCAGGUCGAGGUGUAGCGAAUGAAGUGGAAAGAAAUGGGCUACAUUUUCUGCCCACAGAAUAUCACGGAUAUGCACCAUGAAACAGUGCUUAAAGGAGGAUUUAGCAGUAAAAGGGAAUCAGAGCGUCCCUUUGAAUCCGGCUCUGAGACGCGUACACACCGCCCGUCACCCU
RNAcentral lists this ribosomal RNA (410 nucleotides) under Osteobrama sp. YYS-1. RNAcentral's name for it is "partial 12S ribosomal RNA". It matches the Rfam family "Bacterial small subunit ribosomal RNA", at positions 794 to 1403 of the family's 1533-position model. The record is from RNAcentral. Lineage: Eukaryota; Metazoa; Chordata; Actinopteri; Cypriniformes; Cyprinidae.